Molecule: ribosomal RNA, 468 nt
Filed under: uncultured bacterium
Lineage: Bacteria
Description: partial 16S ribosomal RNA
Rfam family: Bacterial small subunit ribosomal RNA
Source: RNAcentral
GACGAACGCUGGCGGCGUGCUUAACACAUGCAAGUCGAACGGAAAGGCCCUGCUUUUGUGGGGUGCUCGAGUGGCGAACGGGUGAGUAACACGUGAGUAACCUGCCCUUGACUUUGGGAUAACUUCAGGAAACUGGGGCUAAUACCGGAUAGGAGCUCCUGCUGCAUGGUGGGGGUUGGAAAGUUUCGGCGGUUGGGGAUGGACUCGCGGCUUAUCAGCUUGUUUGUGGGGUAGUGGCUUACCAAGGCUUUGACGGGUAGCCGGCCUGAGAGGGUGACCGGCCACAUUGGGACUGAGAUACGGCACAGACUCCUACGGGAGGCAGCAGUGGGGAAUAUUGCACAAUGGGCGGAAGCCUGAUGCAGCAACGCCGCGUGCGGGAUGACGGCCUUCGGGUUGUAAACCGAUUUCGCCUGUGACGAAGCGUGAGUGACGGUAAUGGGUAAAGAAGCACCGGCUAACUACGUG